CUACGGGGGGCUCCAGUGGGGAAUAUUGCACAAUGGAGGAAACUCUGAUGCAGCAACGCCGCGUGGAGGAUGACACUUUUCGGAGCGUAAACUCCUUUUAUAUAGUAAGAAGAUGACGGUACUAUAUGAAUAAGCGCCGGCUAACUCCGUGCCAGCAGCCGCGGUAAUACGGAGGGCGCAAGCGUUACUCGGAAUCACUGGGCGUAAAGAGCGUGUAGGCGGAUUAAAAAGUCAGAAGUGAAAUCCUAUAGCUUAACUAUAGAACUGCUUCUGAAACUCUUAAUCUAGAAUAUGGGAGAGGUAGAUGGAAUUUCUGGUGUAGGGGUAAAAUCCGUAGAGAUCAGAAGGAAUACCGAUUGCGAAGGCGAUCUACUAGAACAUUAUUGACGCUGAGACGCGAAAGCGUGGGGAGCAAACAGGAUUAGAUACCCGUGUAGUC
This 439-nucleotide ribosomal RNA is filed under the name uncultured bacterium. RNAcentral's name for it is "partial 16S ribosomal RNA". It matches the Rfam family "Bacterial small subunit ribosomal RNA", at positions 339 to 795 of the family's 1533-position model. The record is from RNAcentral.